RNAcentral lists this ribosomal RNA (615 nucleotides) under Hansenula anomala. RNAcentral describes it as "eukaryotic LSU rRNA". It matches the Rfam family "Eukaryotic large subunit ribosomal RNA", at positions 65 to 664 of the family's 3401-position model. Lineage: Eukaryota; Fungi; Ascomycota; Saccharomycetes; Phaffomycetales; Wickerhamomycetaceae. The record is from RNAcentral.
CCAACCAGGGAUUGCCUCAGUAACGGCGAGUGAAGCGGCAAAAGCUCAAAUUUGAAAUCUAGCACCUUCGGUGUUCGAGUUGUAAUUUGAAGAUGGUAACCUUGGGUUUGGCUCUUGUCUAUGUUCCUUGGAACAGGACGUCAUAGAGGGUGAGAAUCCCGUCUGAUGAGAUGCCCAUUCCUAUGUAAGGUGCUAUCGAAGAGUCGAGUUGUUUGGGAAUGCAGCUCUAAGUGGGUGGUAAAUUCCAUCUAAAGCUAAAUAUUGGCGAGAGACCGAUAGCGAACAAGUACAGUGAUGGAAAGAUGAAAAGAACUUUGAAAAGAGAGUGAAAAAGUACGUGAAAUUGUUGAAAGGGAAGGGCAUUAGAUCAGACUUGGUGUUUUACGAUUAUCUUCUCUUCUUGAGUUGUGCACUCGUAUUUCACUGGGCCAGCAUCGAUUCGGAUGGCAAGAUAAUGGCAGUUGAAUGUGGCUUCACUUCGGUGGAGUGUUAUAGCUUCUGCUGAUAUUGCCUGUCUGGAUCGAGGGCUGCGUCUUUUGACUAGGAUGCUGGCGUAAUGAUCUAAUGCCGCCCGUCUUGAAACACGGACCUCCUGUGUGAGGGAUCCCCCUAAAG